UACGUUGGUGGCGAGCGUUGUCCAGAAUUACUGGGUGUAAAGGGAGCGCAGGCGGGGGAUUAAGUUGGAUGUGAAAUGCCAGGCUCAACCUGGGAGCUGCAUCCAAAACUGGUUCUCUUGAGUGAAGUAGAGGUAGGCGGAAUUCCUAGUGUAGCGGUGAAAUGCGUAGAUAUUAGGAGGAACACCAGUGGCGAAGGCGGCCUACUGGGCUUUAACUGACGCUGAGGCUCGAAAGCGUGGGGAGCAAACAGG
RNAcentral lists this ribosomal RNA (252 nucleotides) under uncultured bacterium. RNAcentral's name for it is "partial 16S ribosomal RNA". It matches the Rfam family "Bacterial small subunit ribosomal RNA", at positions 524 to 776 of the family's 1533-position model. The record is from RNAcentral.